Molecule: long non-coding RNA, 520 nt
Filed under: Marmota monax (woodchuck)
Lineage: Eukaryota; Metazoa; Chordata; Mammalia; Rodentia; Sciuridae
Source: RNAcentral
CCAACAGCAUCGCUGGCUUAAAGGAAAACUCUCUAAGUUCCAGACAGCCAACGAGGGUGUUCCUGAGAGCACAUGCACCCCCAAAUGUCAAGUGUGCGCACGGGCACACACAGUGAACACGCGUGGGCACACGCGCGCGUGCACACAGGCGCACACACUCGCACACAUAGUCUACUCAUAGGUGUGUGGGUCCGAAGUUGCUGCCGCUCGGAGCUUGAUGUGAGAUGGACUGGUCCUCGUUGGCGCUCAGAGCGCUCGGUGCUGCCUUUCUGGAGACCCCCAGAUGAACAGGAGGGAACCCCACACACGGUUUAGAGUUCUCACUCCUUUUCAAGAUCAGCGUGGAAACCAGAGUGCUCUAGCCCUUGGAAUAUGCCGCUGCGUGGAGCAGAGAGCAAGCGUCUUGGACAGGUCCCGAACUUGGCCACCCCUGCUGGGCAGCUUGCAUGUGCAGCCCGGGAUGGAGUCCUGGACCUGCCGUGCUCCCGCGCCUUGCCUCCCCUGCCUCUUUUGAAUUUUG